UACGGAGGGGGCGAGCGUUAUUCGGAAUUACUGGGCGUAAAGCGCACGUAGGCGGGUCUGUAAGUAGGGGGUGAAAUCCCAGGGCUCAACCCUGGAACUGCCUUCUAGACUGCAGGCCUGGAGGUCAGGAGAGGCGAGUGGAAUACCGAGUGUAGAGGUGAAAUUCGUAGAUAUUCGGUGGAACACCAGUGGCGAAGGCGACUCGCUGGACUGAUACUGACGCUGAGGUGCGAAAGCGUGGGGAGCAAACAGG
Molecule: ribosomal RNA, 253 nt
Filed under: uncultured bacterium
Lineage: Bacteria
Description: partial 16S ribosomal RNA
Rfam family: Bacterial small subunit ribosomal RNA
Source: RNAcentral